UCCGAGUUGACCCCGGCAGUCUCGUAUGAGUCCCCACCAUUACGUGCUGGCAACAUACGACGAGGGUUGCGCUCGUUGCGGGACUUAACCCAACAUCUCACGACACGAGCUGACGACAACCAUGCACCACCUGUAUACGAGUGUCCAAAGAGUUCUACAUUUCUGCAGCGUUCUCGUACAUGUCAAGCCUUGGUAAGGUUCUUCGCGUUGCAUCGAAUUAAUCCGCAUGCUCCGCCGCUUGUGCGGGCCCCCGUCAAUUCCUUUGAGUUUUAGCCUUGCGGCCGUACUCCCCAGGCGGGGCGCUUAAUGCGUUAGCUGCGGCACAGGAAACCGGAGAGGUCCCCCACACCUAGUUCCCAACGUUUACGGCAUGGACUAC
RNAcentral lists this unclassified non-coding RNA (379 nucleotides) under uncultured Micrococcales bacterium. RNAcentral describes it as "contains 16S-23S intergenic spacer region". The record is from RNAcentral. Lineage: Bacteria; Bacillati; Actinomycetota; Actinomycetes; Micrococcales.